AGUGAACGCUGGCGGUAGGCCUAACACAUGCAAGUCGAACGGCAGCACAGUAAGAGCUUGCUCUUACGGGUGGCGAGUGGCGGACGGGUGGGGAAUACAUCGGAAUCUACUUUUUCGUGGGGGAUAACGUAGGGAAACUUACGCUAAUACCGCAUACGACCUACGGGUGAAAGCAGGGGAUCUUCGGACCUUGCGCGAUUGAAUGAGCCGAUGUCGGAUUAGCUAGUUGGCGGGGUAAAGGCCCACCAAGGCGACGAUCCGUAGCUGGUCUGAGAGGAUGAUCAGCCACACUGGAACUGAGACACGGUCCAGACUCCUACGGGAGGCAGCAGUGGGGAAUAUUGGACAAUGGGCGCAAGCCUGAUCCAGCCAUACCGCGUGGGUGAAGAAGGCCUUCGGGUUGUAAAACCCUUUUGUUGGGAAAGAAAAGCAGCAGGUUAAUACCCCGCUGUUCUGACGGUACCCAAAGAAUAAGCACCGGCUAACUUCGUG
Molecule: ribosomal RNA, 492 nt
Filed under: uncultured bacterium
Lineage: Bacteria
Description: partial 16S ribosomal RNA
Rfam family: Bacterial small subunit ribosomal RNA
Source: RNAcentral